Molecule: ribosomal RNA, 503 nt
Filed under: uncultured bacterium
Lineage: Bacteria
Description: partial 16S ribosomal RNA
Rfam family: Bacterial small subunit ribosomal RNA
Source: RNAcentral
AUUGAACGCUGGCGGCAGGCUUAACACAUGCAAGUCGAGCGGGGUGAUGGUGCUUGCACUAUCACUUAGCGGCGGACGGGUGAGUAAUGCUUAGGAAUCUGCCUAUUAGUGGGGGACAACAUCUCGAAAGGGAUGCUAAUACCGCAUACGUCCUACGGGAGAAAGCAGGGGAUCACUUGUGACCUUGCGCUAAUAGAUGAGCCUAAGUCGGAUUAGCUAGUUGGUGGGGUAAAGGCCUACCAAGGCGACGAUCUGUAGCGGGUCUGAGAGGAGGCACCGCCACCCUGGGACUGGGACCCGGCCCAGACCCCUACGGGAGGCAGCAGUGGGGAAUAUUGGUCAAUGGGGGGAACCCUGAUCCAGCCAUGCCGCGUGUGUGAAGAAGGCCUUAUGGUUGUAAAGCACUUUAAGCGAGGAGGAGGCUCUUUUGGUUAAUACCCAAGAUGAGUGGACGUUACUCGCAGAAUAAGCACCGGCUAACUCUGUGCCAGCCGCCGCCGUAA